Molecule: ribosomal RNA, 492 nt
Filed under: uncultured bacterium
Lineage: Bacteria
Description: partial 16S ribosomal RNA
Rfam family: Bacterial small subunit ribosomal RNA
Source: RNAcentral
AGUGAACGCUGGCGGUAGGCCUAACACAUGCAAGUCGAACGGCAGCACAGUGAGAGCUUGCUCUUACGGGUGGCGAGUGGCGGACGGGUGAGGAAUACAUCGGAAUCUACUUUUUCGUGGGGGAUAACGUAGGGAAACUUACGCUAAUACCGCAUACGACCUACGGGUGAAAGCAGGGGAUCUUCGGACCUUGCGCGAUUGAAUGAGCCGAUGUCGGAUUAGCUAGUUGGCGGGGUAAAGGCCCACCAAGGCGACGAUCCGUAGCUGGUCUGAGAGGAUGAUCAGCCACACUGGAACUGAGACACGGUCCAGACUCCUACGGGAGGCAGCAGUGGGGAAUAUUGGACAAUGGGCGCAAGCCUGAUCCAGCCAUACCGCGUGGGUGAAGAAGGCCUUCGGGUUGUAAAGCCCUUUUGUUGGGAAAGAAAAGCAGCAGGUUAAUACCCCGCUGUUCCGACGGUACCCAAAGAAUAAGCACCGGCUAACUUCGUG